UUUUUUUUUUUUUUUUUUUUUUGUCUUUUUGCCAUUUCUAGGGCCGCUCCCGUGGCAUAUGGAGGUUCCCAGGCUAGGGAUCCAAUCGGAGCUGUAGGCACCAGCCUACACCACAGCCACAGCAACGUGGGAUCCAAGCCGCAUAUGCGCCCUGCACCACAGCUCACGGCAACGCCAGAUCCUCAACCCACUGAGCAAGGCCAAGGAUCGAACCCACAACCUCAUGGUUCCUAGUUGGAUUCACCAACCAUGACAGGAACUCCAUGACUGCAAGUCUUUAUCAUGGUCUCCUAGCCCCCUGCUGCAAACCUUCACACACACACACACACACAUACACACACACACAGAGCACCUAUGUCCACUCCUGACCACCAGCCUGGAGAGUGACACUCUGCCCCUUCCUCCUUCCCCUCCCCUUUUGCAACCCAAAUACUCCACUCUCCAUAAAGAAGGAACUAUUACUUGCAUCUCAUUCCCAUCUGCUACAGACUAUGAUUAAUUAACACCCUUCAUUAUAAAAUCUCAACACAACAAAGUGAGACAAAGUCCCAGUGUCCCUCAUGACGGAUGUUUUAAACAUCUAUGCAUGUAACAAGGCUACAGAAUCAUCUACUUACUCAGCACACUGCCCACAUCACUCCAGGGCUGGGACCAAAUCUUCUUUGUAUGCCAGCCACACAAGGCCGUCCAUGAUAAAAGGGUCCCAUCCACUCCACUUCAUAGGUCUCUUGCCACCAGCCACCUAGCAUCGUGUCCCCAGUGUCUAUAUCCCCCUGCACACAUCAGGCUGCGCUCUGUGACUCACAAUGCUCCUGCUCACCUGUGCUCCUUCCUUAAUCAGCUCCAAUAGGACCCUCUCAAAAAGGAGGUGCCCCAGAGUUGGGUGCAAUGUCUCCAGGGCUACCACAGGCCCCGUGCACCUGCCUGAAAGCUCCAUUCUGUUUAGUAAUGAUUCCCUCUUCUUUAUCUCACUCUUCCAUCUCAUUAAGAACAGUACCUUAUUAAACUUUGUCUCUCUAGAAAUGAGCACACACCAUGACUGACAGCAUUCGAGCAACAAAUCCAUCCAUUCAUGAAUUCAAGCCACAGUGUUAACACCGAACAGAGAGAGGUAUCAGCCACGGUCUCUCUCUUACAAAUUUCUGACAUCACUGCAGGGCACAUUACUCCUAAAUACACUGUCAUCUGAUAAACCAACCAAGAGAAAAAGAAUGCAUUCAUUAUACAUCAGUCCUGAAACAGAUCAAAGACAAAAACAUGUCAUCUGGCCCAUGAGCAAAAAAGCAAGGAAUCUUGCAGCAAUAUGAUUUUCAAUUUGCAUAAAUUGUGCAAGUUUCUUUGAAGUCGAGUGAGAGUAAGGUAGAAUACAAUCAAGUUUAAAAUUUUGACACUCUGACUCUUUCUUCAGUGUACAAAAGCUUGGGGAAUUCAAGAAGAAGAAGUUGCUUUGCACAAACAAAAGCAAAUGCCUCAUCAGUGUGAGAAAUGUCAGUGGUCCCAACAGCAGAGUAGUUUCUCGUGUGCCUCCCUUCAUCCCACAGGACUUUAAAGUUAAAUGCUGAGCCCUUUUAGAAGGACAACUACUCAAAGAGAACAUAGUAGGGAGACCAAAUGGAUGCUUUGCAAUGUCUUAACUCAUGCCUACCAUGAAAUCAAAAGUCCCAUGAGCUAGGUUCCAACAGUCAGUGACUAUGAGGGGAGGCAGAUGCCUCUCUGGGACCCAGAGGCACCACUCCCUUUGAGGUCCUCUGAGGAGAUGUGGUGGUGUUACCUGAGCAUCCUAAGAGAAGGGCCCCCCAUCCCAGCCUCGCCAUGCUGGAUGCUGACCUUCAACCCUGCCAGCCUCACUCAUGUCCAGCCACAGGGCAGAGCGGCAGCCACUCAGCAGGGAAAUCUGUUCUACAACAGUGAGCCCCAACAAAAGAAUUCUAGACCAAGACACUGCUUUGUUCAAGCACAUAUUUUUGUUCACAGGAGCAGAAAUUGAGAUCCAUUUUCAACAACAAAGGGUCUCAAGAUUUUUAAACCUGAGCACCAAUAAUCCAAACACCAAAGCUAUAAUUCACACAUGCAACAAAAUUUUAACAGUUGGUCUUUUAAAAAAAAUUAGCUCAUUUUCAGGCUCCAUAUGCACAAGUUACCUUAAACUGGUAAGAACUGAACAUUUUAUACAUGUUUCAAUGCAAUACUUAUCCAAGAAUUCCUGCUUUCUCUAUAAAACAGGCAUGGUUAUAAUGUGAUAGGUCUGUAGCCCAAAUUCAUUCUUGAGCCUAUUAGGUUUGAUAAGACUUUUUACCCAUACUGAAACUCUACUAACUUUCCAUUUUAUUUCAGUUAAUGUUCCAUAAAGAAAAUUCCUGCUCUACUUACUACAAAUGAGAAACUGCAGUCACUACUUGGAACAUAGAUGAUUGGCAAAAAAAAAAAAAAUAAAGCGGGAGGGGGGGUCUCCUCAACUGCCAAUAUGAACAAAACCCUGCAAUUUUUAAGGCAAAUAACGGUGCUAGAUACAUCAUAAUAAACAAGGUCAGUAAAAGAUUGAGACUAACCCCUCCUUCCAGGGGAUUAGGAAGAAACCUUAAACACAGAAAAGAUAUUUACACGAUAGGAACAUUUUGUUCAUACCCACUGUUUCACGCAUCUACUCUGUCAGAGGCUGGAAGAUGCUGGGCAUAUAAAGAGAAACACUAGUUUUCAGGAUACUCACAAGCCAUGAAACUGUAUGCAAACUGACAUGCACACAUGCAAUUUUCUAUAGGGAGAAUAAAACUUAACAAAAGGGUGCACCAUCACCAAAAGAUGAAGAAUUGCUGAUACAGACAAUACAUGGUGGAGAGUUGCCAAGAAAUAUGUUACUUCCAAAUAAAGUGUUACCAAGAAAUGUUACUUUCCAAAUAAGAAAAGAGGAUUUUCCAUAGGCCUCAGAGGGGGCAGAGCUUCACAGGCCAAAGCUAAGAGAAAUGGUGUAGAGUGUUGGGAAAGGGAACUGGGGACCAAAACUGUGGCACAGCAUCAUUCCAGCAAGAACGUCGGACACUGCAGUGGCUGCUCAGGCAAGCUGGAAACACAUCACCGAGGGCAACACACAGUCUAAGAAUCAGACCACCAGGGCUCAAGUGCCACCGCUGUACAACCUUGACAUAUGGUAUCACCUAGUCCUGACGUAGGUAUGAAGAUUAAAUGAGAUAAUGAACAUAAACAGUGCUAAGCACAGCCCCUGGCAGCCAGCAAGGCUCCACAGCGAUCCCUGGAAUGCUGACCACCAUCACUGCUGUUUGACCCAAUGCCACUCCCCUAGGAAAGUCCAUCUAAAGGAGAGGUGGGCUCAAGGGCAGGACGCAUUGUAGGCUCCUGGCAUCACAGCACACUUCUCCCUUGUAUCUGACCUGAGGAUUUACCAGGACACUCUCAGCUUUCCUCCCCUUAUCACCUCCACCUGCUUCAACUUGGCUGCUAAGAGAAGGGUUGGCUGUUUGCCCCCACAGGACUCUACCAACUCCUCCUUCCAAAGUGUCCCAAAUUUUUGAACCAACUACAACUGGAGAAUAGAGACAAAUUAGGUCUAGAGGCUAUGUUGGCUAGGCAUUCAGUACCAAACACUAGAAACACAACUUAAAAGACAUAAACAAAAAGUGAUGUGUCCAGGGACAGAUGGUUCAAAAGAUGUGACAGCAAAACUCUCAUCCCAGCUCCACUUUCCUCUGUGUUCAUUCCAUCCUGUCUCUUGAUUGCUUCAGCCUAAGACCUGUGGCUGAUUCCCGCUGGCUGAUAACUCUGUCCAGGCCUGGGGAGAGUGCCCACACUUAACUCAGCUGCACGAGCAGUCACAAAAACCAAAAAUAAAGUGGGAAGUCUCCCAAAAGAAACUAAAAGUGUAAUGAACAGAAAACAUAGGGAAUGCAUGCUAGACAGGCACAAAUAACACAUAUCUGUCAAAGGAACAUAUGAUUAUAUUCAUGCCUUCAGGAAGCAUCAUGAUUCUUGGCAUUAUAUUCCCAUCUGUUUAUUUGAAUCUAUUAGAACUGUUCUGGCUAAAGUUGACCAAAGAAAAACAAAAAACAAAAAACCUAAAAGAUGUCUCAAUCAAAAAGAUAAUUUGUUAUGUGACUACAAAGACUGCAUUAGGAGAUAAAUCAUGGCUGGUCUAAUGAACAAAUCAUGAAAAUCAUUUCCUCCUAAGCCUAAUAUCCGACAUUCCAGUUACUCUUGGGGGUAAAGAUGGCCAUGUGCCCCAGUGCUCGACAUGAGCCAGUCUGCUGAGAGGCAUCUGCUUCCUGCCUAAUGGGAGCCCCUUUGUCCUAAAGUUGUGACAGCCAAGAAGUAACAAGCAUAAAGGGGCAGUUAGCAUAAGGAAAGUAGAUAAGCUUGAGCCUUAAUAACAUCACUGGGAAGCUGAGCCAAGAAAAAUGAGAAUAAAUCCCUACAUCAGCUGCUUCAAUUCAAUCCUGUUACUUGCAGCUGAGAGCAAUCCUAACUGGUCUGGCAGACCAGGGACCCAAGUUCUUUUCACCUUUCCUUACCAUGAUGUUCUUAUCAAAAGAGGGAGACAACUGUUGUAAAUGUCACAAUGAGAAGAAAUACAUGUCAAGUAAAGAGGAAAUGCUCUCCAGAAGUCCUUUAGCAGGUGUCUUGGCAUAUCUUGUGGGCCAGAACUACAUCAUAUGCUUAUACCUCAAUUCAAGUGGUAAGGAAAAUGGUAUUUCAAUGUUUUACUCCUGAAAUGGGAUCACUUUCUGAAGGAAAACAAAGUUUCUACUAAUAAGAAAAGUAUAAGGUGAACAGAUGCUUCUUAGGCAACUCACAAUGCCAAUUAUCAUAGCAAUUACUAGAUAGCAUUUUAAUAUUACUUUUCAUACAUACAUACAUGUCUCACAAAAGGGGAGAAACAAGGGUGACAACUUCUCAGUGUAUUUUUGCUGCUUCAGUGGGAUAAAAGCGAGUUAAUAUUUACCAUCUAAAAGCAUUAUUUUUUGAAUUUUUUAAAAAACUUUAUUACAUUUAUAAUUGUAAAGUGAUCAUCACAACCCAACUUUAUUGCAUUUCCACCCCAAACCCCCAGGGCAUGUCCCCACCCCCCAACCUGUCUCAUUUGGAAACCAUAAAUUUUUCAAAGUCUGUGAGUCAGGAUCUGUGCUUCAAAGAAGUUCACUGUGUCCUUUUUUUAGAUUCCACAUGUAAGUGAUAGCAUAUGAUGUUGGUGUCUCACUGUAUGACUGACUACACUUAGCAUGAUAAUUUCGAGGUCCAUCCAUGUUGCUGCAAAUGCUGUUAUUUCUUUCCUUUUAAUGGCUGAGUAAUGUUCCAUUGUGUAUAUGUACCACAUCUUCUUGAUUCACUCCUCUGUCGAUGGAUAUUUAGGUUGUUUCCAUGUCUUGGCUAUUGUAUAUAGUGCUGCAAAAAGCAUUAUUAAAUACAUAUGAGUACUAAGAAUAGCCCCAGAAAAUGUCAUAUAAUAAAAAUGUAUACAAAAGCUAACCAUUAAAGGCUGUUUAAAAACAUGGAAAAGAAGUGCCACAUAAAAAGUAUGUUGAAACGCUCAUACACUGCUGCUAAGAGGGUACAUUAGUACAGCCACUUUAGAAGGCAAUUUGGAAGUACCUACUAAAAUUUUAAGUGCCACAUACUCCAUGCCUCAAAUAUUUUACUUCUCAGUAUAUAUCCUGGAAAAA
RNAcentral lists this long non-coding RNA (5669 nucleotides) under Sus scrofa (pig). Its description in RNAcentral is "lncRNA (ENSSSCG00035058381.1)". Lineage: Eukaryota; Metazoa; Chordata; Mammalia; Artiodactyla; Suidae. The record is from RNAcentral.